UGCCUGGCUCCCCGGGACAUGCAGGGCUGCUCAGGGCACUUUCGGACCUGUGGGAGGAAACAGCCUGCAAACCAAACCCGUCCUGCUCCUCAGGUUUCGGUGUGUUCAGCUCCAGGAUGCCCGCAGGGGGAUGCAGAGAAGUUGAAGCUGUAUUUAUUACUUUCCUGAAGCACAGCUAUCUAAGCAGGCCUGGUGAGGAGUGAUCCCUGGCCGUGGCAUGUCCCAGCAGACUUGGUGGAGUGUGACAGUGAGGGACGUGUGCUGCCUGACUCGCCCCCGGGGAGGUGAGGAGCAACAGGCAUUCUUGCUCGCUGCAUCCUUGCUGCCCACAAUUGCCCCCGUGCAGGAGGAGCUCCAAGAUCGCUCUUCUCCCCAUGGCAGCAGACAUCAGCCAUCGAGCCCGUUCCCAGGUAUCUUGCAGUGGAAGAUACGGCUCCUCGGGCGCCAGCAAAAUCACAGUUUCGGGAUUGAUCAGUGGUGAAUAACCAGCAUGUUUCUGCCUACUUAGCUGAGAUGACACAUUCAGACUACUGGUACUGGCUGGAGCGUGUGGUCCUGUGCUCAUUUCUUACAAACCAUCACCGCAGAGCAGCACACUCGGCUCUGCUGUGUAUAGCAGUACAUGCAAUGCAGGUAUGCUGCUCCGGCAAGGCACCUGUCAAAUGCAAAUACUGUCACAGGCGAAUUCCUCCUCAAAACUUCUACAGGGAGAGCUACGUGCAAGGAAGUCUGGCAAGAUAACCCAGAUCCUUUUCCCCUGAGCUGGGAUCCUGCCUUGUCAUUAUGCUGUGCUCAAGGCGGCAUGCCAGCACUGGAAUGGCACACUGUGAAGCCUGAAGGACACCUCCAGAGAGCACCCACCCCUCCCUGGUGCACUCUGACACCUUUCAUUUGAUUGAAAGUGGGAAGUCAGUCAUGACUGUCC
Molecule: long non-coding RNA, 925 nt
Organism: Aquila chrysaetos chrysaetos
Lineage: Eukaryota; Metazoa; Chordata; Aves; Accipitriformes; Accipitridae
Exons: 4
Source: RefSeq, a predicted model, not a curated record